AUUAUUUGGUAGAUGCACGUGUA
Molecule: non-coding RNA, 23 nt
Filed under: Arabidopsis thaliana (thale cress)
Lineage: Eukaryota; Viridiplantae; Streptophyta; Magnoliopsida; Brassicales; Brassicaceae
Source: RNAcentral